AUGAUCUCUACAUCCCUACUGCUGCUGCUGCUGGCAGCCGUACACUGUGUUCACUGUGUUGAGCUGAUCCAGACCGGAUCCACAGUAUUAACUCCUGGUCAGUCACUGACUCUGACCUGUAAAGUGUCUGGAUAUUCAUUAACUGAUAGCAGCUACUGUACAGACUGGAUACGACAACCUGCAGGAAAAACUCUGGAGUGGAUCGGAGAGAUAUGUGGUAGCGGUAACACUUUCUACAGUGAGAAACUGAAAAGCAGGUUUCAGGUUUCCAGAGACACGUCCAGCAGCACAGUGACAUUAACAGGGCAGAACAUGCAGACUGAAGACACAGCUGUGUAUUACUGCGCUCGUUACACACAGUGAGACAGAUAAACAACGUCCCUGUACAAAAACUCCAAGUACACUGAAACAGUGCUAGCUCCCAACAUCCUCCUUCAUUAAAAAAGAAAUAAUAAUGAUACCAGUUCUGACUACAGCACCGGAGCCUCAUGAACAAUUCGACAGUCGGUUUCUGAUUACAUUGAAUUGAUUAGGCUCAUGUUCAUUUCACUCAUGUUCAUUUCAGCUAUCAAUAUCUGACAUUCACCUGUGUGUGAGUAAAUCACACUUACAGCAAGGUUUUACAAAUCUUCAGACAGACUGACUGUUUGUUGAAUUUGCUUCUUACACACAUUUUCAUGCAUGGUUUCUUCACACUGUGGAGUUUUUUAACCUCCAAAAUUGUCCUUCACCUGCAUCUGAUGAGUUUUCCCAGACCGGCACACACAUCCAUUUUAUUUUCCAUUACGUUUAAUAGCCUCCGUAAUGAAAUAAUAAAUGAUUACAUACA
Non-coding RNA from Hemibagrus wyckioides, 829 nucleotides. The record is from the annotation of a RefSeq genome assembly. NCBI's taxonomy places the organism in Eukaryota, Metazoa, Chordata, Actinopteri, Siluriformes, Bagridae.